GGCUCCUCCCAUUCCCGGGUCUUGUCUGAAUGCUGCAUGUUCGAGACGCUGGCAGCGGCGUUUGCAGAAGGGGCUGAGAUCGACCCUGCUCUCUCUCCUUCCCCGGGCCUUUCUGGCGUUGGGAGGAAAAAUCCAUCUGGUUUAGUUCCAAGCCGGAAGAAAGACGCUGGAAUCCAAAUGGACGCUGAUUGAAAAGAAGGUCCCAUUUAUUGGUGAACAGAAAGCUACCAGGGUUUUUGUGGUUUUGGUACAGCUGACAAAACGGGAGUUUUUUAAGAUGGGUGGGUUUUUACACCUUCUGGAUCAUGGCUGGCUCUAUAGGCUAAACUUUUAUUACCCUUGCCGGCGUACAAGAUUGUGACAAAAGAUUUACCUGAAAGACAACUAUCAACAUAAUAGAAAUUCAGCCCAAGGCAGCAGCCGCCAGAAAGGAUGGAGCCUGGGAAAUUCUUGGAUACCCCAUUAGACACAAGCAGCACUUCAAAAAACCACGAAAAACCACACGAAUGCUCAGAGUGUGGGAAAUCCUUUGCUGGCCGGUCCCUCCUUUUGACCCACAGGAAGAUCCAUGUGGGAAGUGGAUCCAGUCAAGGUUUGGAGUGUGAGGAAGCCUCCCCUGGAGAAAAUUCCAAAGAUCUCAGGAGCCCCCCUAGACUAAAGCCCUUUAAAUGUGAUGAAUGCGAUUUAUGCUUUGGUCGAUCGUCAUACCUUCUUACCCAUCAGAAAAUCCACACUGGAGAGAAACCUUAUCAAUGUCUGGAAUGUGGGACGUUUUUCCGUGAAAAAGCCACUCUCAUAAAGCACGAGAGAACUCACACAGGGGAGAAACCUUACAAGUGUUCGGAAUGUGGGAAGAGCUUUUCUCAUAAGGCAAAUCUUUGUGUCCAUGAACAGAUUCAUGCAGGAAUCAAACCUCACAAAUGCUUGGAGUGUGGAAAAUGUUUCACACAGAUUUCAUCUCUCCGGAGUCAUGAGAAAACACACAGAGGGGAGAAAAAUGAAAAGUGCCUUGAAUGCGGGAAAUGUUUUAUCUUGAAAUCAAACCUGCUGCAACAUCAGAGACUCCACACCGGGAUGAGACCCUAUGAAUGCACAGAAUGUGAGAAACGAUUUCUAACAUCUUCUGAUCUCCGGAAACAUCAAAUAGGGCACCAAGAUGAGAAACCGUAUAAAUGUGGGGAGUGUGGGAAAGGUUUUCUUGAACGAAGGAAACUUGAGAGUCAUGAGAGAAUCCAUACAGGGGAGAAGCCAUUCAAAUGUGUGGAGUGUGGGAUGUGCUUUUCCCAAAAACACCAUGUUGCAAGGCAUCAGAGCGUCCAUACAGGAGAGAAGCCAUACAGAUGUGGAGAAUGUGGAAAAUGUUUUGCUCAAAAGGGAUAUCUUUCAGUACAUUAUAAAACCCACACAGGGGAGAAGCCAUAUCAAUGCAACAAAUGUGGACAAUUUUAUCGUACUGCAUCAACUCUCAGAAAACAUGCAAAAAUUCAUAGAGAACAAAAUUUCAAAUGUUUAUAGAGUGUGAGAGAACAUUUGCUGAUUAAUCUUCCCUUAGAAGUCACAGCCAAAUCCCUAUAGGAGAGAAGCCCUAGUCUUAAUCACAUAAAUUUAAGCAUAAUUUUCAAGAAGAACCUCCCCCUAUGACUGAAGAGAAAACUUUUUGAUCAGUGUGUGCUAGUCAAAUCAAUUUUUUCUUGUUAACUUAUUUUUGUUUCCAUUUUUGGAUAUAAAGUUUAUUGUUUCAGGAAAUGUUUCCUGAUAUUCCUGAUAAAAUAGCUUCCAAUUUUAUUACUAUUGCUUUAUAAUUAUUUUGUUUAGUUGUUAUGCACUGAGAGAACUCAACCAAUCUCAUUGUACAUAUGUUGUGCACUGACAAUAAAGAUUUGAAAAAUUAUAUAUUUACGUUGUUAGCUAUUUUUGUCCAUUGGAUCUGGAUCUUUGUUGAUCAAUAGGAGAGCUGAAGAUUUAAAGAUAAGUUUGUAAAAAAUGGGAUCAGAUAUACAAUGAAGAUGCCCCUGUUUAUAAUUGGAGAGAGUGAUAAAUCAGACACUCAGGAUUAAUUGGAGUACAGGUAAUUUAGCACGUACAUUGCAGGUGUGUAACUUUGAAUUGCGUAAUAUUCAGAUUAGUGUGAAUUUUAAAUGGAUACCAAGUUGAUUAUCAUGUGACUCAAAAUUCAUUUAAUGUUAGGUUACAAUAUGUGCAAUUAAGGUUACCAUAUGUACAGUUGUUUUAUCUAUAAAUUUAAAUUUUUGAAGCACAUUCUUGUUCUUCUUUACUGUGAUAUUUCAUUAUUAUUCAUAUAUCAUAUUGUAUUCAAUGUUUUUCUUGCCUAUUGCCAUCAAUCCAGAAACAAUUACCUUAUUUUCCAUCGAGAUAUCACUUCAAAUAGUACAUGUAGUCCUUGAUUUAGGACCACAAUUGAGCCACAAAAUGUAGGUUGCUAAGUGAAACAUUUUUAUGUGAAUUUUGCUCAUUUUUACGACUAUUGUUCCCACUCUUGUUAAGUGAACCAUAGCAAGUGUUUAGUUAGUAACACGGUUGUUAAGUGAAUUUGGCUUCCCCAUUGACUUUGCUUGUCAGAAGGUCACAAAAGGGGAUCACAUAACCCUGGGACACAGAGGUGGGUUUCAGUAGGUUCUGAUCAGUUCUGGAGAACCGGUAACAGAAAUUUUGAGUAGUUUGGAGAACUGGUAAAUACCACCUCUGGCUGGCCCCAUCCCCAUCUAUUCUCUGCCUCCCGAGUCCCAGCUGAUCGGGAAGAAAUGGAGAUUUUACAAUAUCCUUUCCCUGCCACACCCACCAAGCCACACCCACAGAACCGGUAGUAAAAAAAUUUUUGAAACCCACCACUGCCGGGACAUUGUGACCGUCAUAAAUAUGAAACAGUUGCCAAGUAUCUGAAUUUUGAUCAUGUGACCAUGG
This is an RNA transcript of Ahaetulla prasina, 2922 nucleotides long. It is a transcript of the gene named zinc finger protein 501-like, with no coding region annotated. The transcript has 3 exons. The record is from RefSeq and is a predicted model, not a curated record. Lineage: Eukaryota; Metazoa; Chordata; Lepidosauria; Squamata; Colubridae.